Molecule: long non-coding RNA, 329 nt
Filed under: Mytilus galloprovincialis (Mediterranean mussel)
Lineage: Eukaryota; Metazoa; Mollusca; Bivalvia; Mytilida; Mytilidae
Source: RNAcentral
CUCUAUUUACAGUUUUAUAAAAUUUGGUCAACAGAAUCUCCCUGCAAAAUGAAACAAAAUGUCGUUUUAAAAAAUGGGGGUCCAUGCACUUGUUUUCAAAUUAAAUCAGUUUGAAUAAUAAAAAUCAGUCGAAAAAUGCAUCAUUUCCCGAUAUGUCACAGUUUGACGUUGCGAAAAUAACAUUUUACGUUAACAACGUCAUUACCUCCCCUGUAACUGUAUCGUAUGCCCUUAAGAUUAAACAAACAUUGUCACAAAACUUAAAAGGGGCAUAUAACUUGUGCAUUUAGUAAUAAUUUAAUUUUGGAUGUAACACGUCUUCUGAUUGG